Balaenoptera acutorostrata (minke whale) is the source of this 695-nucleotide long non-coding RNA. RefSeq lists it as uncharacterized. The transcript is spliced from 4 exons. NCBI's taxonomy places the organism in Eukaryota, Metazoa, Chordata, Mammalia, Artiodactyla, Balaenopteridae. The record is from RefSeq and is a predicted model, not a curated record.
GAAAGACCAUGUUACGACACAGGGAGAAGGGGACCACAUGAAAGCCAAGGAGAGAGGUCUCCGGAGAAAUCAACUCUGUAACAUUUUGAUGAUCUUGGACUUCCAGCCUCCAGAACUACUCAUGAUCAGCAUCAAUGAGUUGCUUAUCAUAUAUCCCAGUACUAAAAAAAUGAAGAUGCCAUUUCUCUAGAAGGUAUACACAGUCAUGUAAUAGGAUAUUACUAGAAGGAGCUUUCCUGGUGGUGCAGUCGUUAAGAAUCUGCCUGCCAAUGCAGGGGACACGAGUUGGAGCCCUGGUCCGGGAAGAUCUCACAUGCCGCGGAGCAACUAAGCCCGUGCACCACACUGAGCCUGCGCUCUAGAGCCCACAAGCCACAACUACUGAGCCUGCAUGCCACAACUACUGAAGCCCGUGCGCCUAGAGCCCGUGCUCCGCAACAAGAGAAGCCACCGCAAUAAGAAGCCUGCACACCACAACGAAGAGUAGCCCCCACUCACCGUAACUAGAUAAAGCCCGCGUGCAGUAACACAGACAAAAAUUAAUAAAUAAAAAUAAAUUUAUUUUUUAAAAAAAUUUUAAAUUAAGAAAAAAUAAAUGUACCUGUCAGAUCUUCCUCAUUAAUUAUGCUUCUUAGAAUUAAUUGCUAUAUUGUUUUAUAUUUUAUAUAUUCUGUUUUAUAUUUUGACCUGUCAUG